GUUGUAUAGUCAAGUAAUUAAGUGCAUGUGGUGGAUGCCUUGGCAGUCAGAGGCGAUGAAAGACGUGAUAGCCUGCGAAAAGCUCCGGGGAGGCGGCAAAUAUCCUUUGAUCCGGAGAUGUCUGAAUGGGGGAACCCACCUACUUUAAGGUAGGUAUUGCAACAUGAAUACAUAGUGUUGCAAGGCGAACGAGGGGAAGUGAAACAUCUCAGUACCCUUAGGAAAAGAAAUCAAUUGAGAUUCCCUCAGUAGCGGCGAGCGAACGGGGAUCAGCCCAUUAAGUUAUGUGUGUUUUAGUGGAACGCUCUGGGAAGUGCGAACGUAGAGGGUGAUAUUCCCGUACACGAAAGGGCACACAUAAUGAUGACGAGUAGGGCGAGGCACGUGAAACCUUGUCUGAAUAUGGGGGGACCAUCCUCCAAGGCUAAAUACUCCUGACUGACCGAUAGUGAACCAGUACCGUGAGGGAAAGGCGAAAAGAACCCCUGUGAGGGGAGUGAAAUAGAUCCUGAAACCGCAUGCAUACAAGCAGUGGGAGCACCUUCGUGGUGUGACUGCGUACCUUUUGUAUAAUGGGUCAGCGACUUAUAUUCAGUAGCAAGGUUAACCGUAUAGGGGAGCCGUAGAGAAAUCGAGUCUUAAUAGGGCGUUUAGUUGCUGGGUAUAGACCCGAAACCAGGCGAUCUAUCCAUGAGCAGGUUGAAGGUUGGGUAACACUAACUGGAGGACCGAACCCACUGUCGUUGAAAAGCCAGGGGAUGACUUGUGGAUAGGGGUGAAAGGCUAAUCAAGCCUGGUGAUAGCUGGUUCUCCCCGAAAGCUAUUUAGGUAGCGCCUCGGACGAAUACCAUAGGGGGUAGAGCACUGUUUCGGCUAGGGGGUCAUCCCGACUUACCAAACCGAUGCAAACUCCGAAUACCUAUGAGUACUAUCCGGGAGACAGACUGCGGGUGCUAACGUCCGUAGUCAAGAGGAAAACAAUCCAGACCGCCAGCUAAGGCCCCAAAAUCAUAGUUAAGUGGGAAACGAUGUGGGAAGGCAUAGACAGCUAGGAGGUUGGCUUAGAAGCAGCCACCCUUUAAAGAAAGCGUAAUAGCUCACUAGUCGAGUCGGCCUGCGCGGAAGAUGUAACGGGGCUAAAACUAUGUGCCGAAGCUGCGGAUNNNNNNNUUGACAUUAGUCAAGUGGUAGGGGAGCGUUCUGUAAGCCGAUGAAGGUGUAUUGAGAAGUAUGCUGGAGGUAUCAGAAGUGCGAAUGCUGACGUGAGUAACGACAAAACGGGUGAAAAACCCGUUCGCCGAAAGACCAAGGGUUCCAGUCCAACGUUAA
This 1329-nucleotide ribosomal RNA is filed under the name Acinetobacter baumannii. RNAcentral's name for it is "bacterial LSU rRNA". It matches the Rfam family "Bacterial large subunit ribosomal RNA", at positions 1 to 1368 of the family's 2925-position model. The record is from RNAcentral. Lineage: Bacteria; Pseudomonadati; Pseudomonadota; Gammaproteobacteria; Moraxellales; Moraxellaceae.